Molecule: long non-coding RNA, 1442 nt
Organism: Cicer arietinum (chickpea)
Lineage: Eukaryota; Viridiplantae; Streptophyta; Magnoliopsida; Fabales; Fabaceae
Source: RefSeq, a predicted model, not a curated record
UGUUUAGUCAAGAUGUUUUCAAUUGUAUUCGAGGGAAUUGUUUUACAAUUACUGUUGAAUUUGAUUUGACAUGUGCAAUACAUUAAUUAGCCAUGGCAAUGUGGCAUUAUACUAUAGGGAUGAAGUUUAACAUACACUACGAGCUGAAAAACCGUUAGCGUACUUAUAUUCAAAAAAUGGAACCGGAAUAAUAUAAAAUAAUGAAUUAUGUCACUGUCAUUGGACAUAAGCCUAGUAGAAAAUGUAUCUAAGGCAUCAAUCAAGUUGGAAUUAGGACGAUUUUGGUAGUUAAUAAAAAAUUAGGUCCAAUAAGUCUUUUUUACUUUUAGUAAAAAAACUUUUUGAACAGAUCUACCUAUUCUGUUUCAUGAGAGGCUAGAAUAGAAGGGUUUCUUCUCUUUUGAUUAUUAUUACUAGUAUUAGUAUUUACUGAGACACUAAUCACUCACUCACUCACUCUCACUUGCCUGAAUAAUCAGAUGGUGGGUGAGUGUCGUAGAAGUAGUAGAAAAAUAGAGAUUGAAUGAAGGAAAAAGGUGUGGACACCAUCCAAUGUCACCGAAUCUAUCACGUGGCUCACCAGUCGAGGCUCUCCUAAUCUCUUUCCCCAAUAAAACAUUGAAUGAAAAGCCAAUGUCACCACACCUGAGGCCAUUUACUACUGCACUUUUGAUUGGUAAAACUCAAACACUUCUGCUGAUGAAGAAUAGGCUUCAAAGUACACCAGAGAUGCCAUUUGCAGAUGUUAUGAGACACUUCUUGGAUUUGGGUUUUUACCUACGGUCUAAUCUGAAGCUCCCAUAUAAUAAAUACGACAACAAGUUUAGGUUCCCUAGGAUGCAAGAUAUUCGAUUUCGGUAACAGGUCUACACGUAUCUCGCUCAACAGAAAGAAAAAUAUCUUGGAAGCCUUGACGCAGUUCCAUGCAAUAAAAGUAAUCAGAACAGACAACAGAGAGAAAAUAUCUUGUGUUCCUAAUUUAAAUAAUUUAAUCGUAUUUCAAACGAAAAAUAGACCACUUGUGAAAAGAAAACACCUUAAUUAUUGACAGAUAAUAAUUGUUUCUUCCAAUGAAAUGCAAAAUCCUUCUCCCCGCAGAGCCAUUCAUCGGUUCACCUGCGUAGGGACACGAUGGCCCAUUUAGCCACCAUAGCAAUUUUAUUUUUCACACUUCUCAUAAUCGAACAAGAUAAACGAAGGCAUAAACAUUGCAAACAACAAACCAGGAUGUACUUGAAUAUCGAUUUUAUUCCUUUGCAAAGGUUAAUAAUAACAUCGAGUCCACCAAUAUCUUAAUAUUCAACCAAAGUACAUGCAUAUAAAUUAUGCAAAAGUCCUUAAAAUAUCAUAGUAAGUAAAAUAAUUUAACAAGUUUAACAACUCUAUUUGAUACCAAAUACAACAACAAAGUUCCAGUUUUAUUUGUGAUCAGAAUCCGUAGC